Molecule: ribosomal RNA, 253 nt
Filed under: uncultured bacterium
Lineage: Bacteria
Description: partial 16S ribosomal RNA
Rfam family: Bacterial small subunit ribosomal RNA
Source: RNAcentral
UACGGGGGGGGCAAGCGUUGUUCGGAAUUACUGGGCGUAAAGGGCUCGUAGGUGGCCAACUAAGUCGGACGUGAAAUCCCUCAGCUUAACUGGGGAACUGCGUCCGAUACUGGAUGGCUUGAGUUUGGGAGAGGGAUGCGGAAUUCCAGGUGUAGCGGUGAAAUGCGUAGAUAUCUGGAGGAACACCGAUGGCGAAGGCAGCCUCCUGGGCCAACACUGACGCUCAUGCACGAAAGCGUGGGGAGCAAACAGG